RNAcentral lists this ribosomal RNA (384 nucleotides) under Coloracalles humerosus. RNAcentral's name for it is "eukaryotic LSU rRNA". It matches the Rfam family "Eukaryotic large subunit ribosomal RNA", at positions 1334 to 1628 of the family's 3401-position model. Lineage: Eukaryota; Metazoa; Arthropoda; Insecta; Coleoptera; Curculionidae. The record is from RNAcentral.
CGUGCGAUCGCGCGCGCUCGCGCGCGCGAUCACGAAGCCCUGACGAGUAGGAGGGUCGCGGCGGUGAGCGCAGAAGGGCUGGCCGCGAGGCCGUCUGGAGCCGCCGUCGGUGCAGAUCUUGGUGGUAGUAGCAAAUACUCCAGCGAGGCCCUGGAGGACUGACGUGGAGAAGGGUUUCGUGUGAACAGCCGUUGCACACGAGUCAGUCGAUCCUAAGCCCUAGGCGAAAGCCGAUGUCGAUGCGGUGUAGCUUAAUUAUGGAUAUGCGACGACGGGGAGGAGAGUAAACGCGCGUGUGUCUCUCKCUCGCUCGCUCGCUUAUUUUUACGCGAAACCAAACACCCGUCGGGCGAAAGGGAAUCCGGUUCCUAUUCCGGAACCUGG